GGAGCCCGGGCGCACGGGCCAGGCCGCGGGCUGUCCCAGGGAGCCCCGAGGGCGCGGUGCGCGGGCGCAGGUCGGGCGCAGGCGGGGUGACCCGGGGAAGGGGCGCGCACAGAGACAGAGGGAGCCAGCCGGGCCCCACGGUGUCCUCGGACGCCUCCGAAAUCUCCCUGCGUGUUUGUUUCUUCGGAGCUUCACCGGAGCCUGACUCUGGAACCGGCCUGUCUGCCUGCUGCAGUCUGUCAUUCAACAUUUAUUCAACCAAAAAUACUAAGUCAGCUCUAUACAAACUAAUGGAAGGAUACAGCUAUGCAAAUAUAGAACACUAAAGUGUUACAUGACAGAUGUAUGAGAAGUACCUUUUGCCUCCCACUGUGAUUCUGAGGCCUCCCCAGCCAUGUGCAACUGUAAGUCCAAUGAAACCUCUUUUUCUCCUCAGUUUUGGGUAUGUCUUUAUCAGCAGCGUGAAAAUGGACUAAUACGAUCACCCUCUUCUUUGUUCUCCUUUCUAUUUCAUCGCUAAUUUUUUUUGGCAUUUGGAGGGUGCUAUACAUUGCAAAAGUUGGGGACUCACUAAUUCCACUGCUCACUGUAUAUCAAGGUAAUCUGUCAGGGGUUUGGUUUUAUAUAAGAAACAAAUGAGUCCCCAGAACAUACAAGUUAAGAUUAUUCAAUCAAGGGAGGC
This 682-nucleotide long non-coding RNA is filed under the name Homo sapiens (human). RNAcentral's name for it is "PREDICTED lncRNA (TCONS_00247618)". The record is from RNAcentral. Lineage: Eukaryota; Metazoa; Chordata; Mammalia; Primates; Hominidae.